Molecule: ribosomal RNA, 534 nt
Filed under: Gloripallium pallium
Lineage: Eukaryota; Metazoa; Mollusca; Bivalvia; Pectinida; Pectinidae
Description: partial 16S ribosomal RNA
Rfam family: Bacterial large subunit ribosomal RNA
Source: RNAcentral
GUGGGAGGUCGUGCCUUCCCGGUGAGCCUUUCGGGCUUAAACGGACGCGGUAAAUCGUGCUAAGGUAGCUAAAUUACGGCCUAUUAAUUGUAGGUCCUGUGAAUGGUUUGACGAGCCUCCAACUGUCUCUAGUUUAUUUUGGUGAACUUGAAUUGGAUGUGCAAAUGCUUCCAUAGGUAAGAAAGACGAGAAGACCCCGUGAAGCUAGAAAUUUUAGUUGUUUAAGUUAAGCCCUCAGGCCAUGAGCUGGCCAAAUUGAGUUGAUGUAUUUCAGCUGAGUGGGGGAAGCAGUGAUAGGUUUUGGCUGGGGCAGCAAAAGAGCAAAACUAGACUCUUUUAGUGAAAAAGCGGGUGCGUGACGACCCACAAUAAUUUUAGUUUUGUGAUUAACAGAAGAAGUUACUCCGGGGAUAACAGCGUUAUCUGCCCUGACAGUCCUUAUAGACGGGCGGGUUUGCGACCUCGAUGUUGGCUCUGGAUAUCCUUAGGCUUGUAGGCGGUCUUUAAGGUUGGUUCGUUCGCCCAUGAAAAUCC